UCCGAGUCGACCCCGGCAGUCUCCCAUGAGUCCCCACCAUCACGUGCUGGCAACAUGGAACGAGGGUUGCGCUCGUUGCGGGACUUAACCCAACAUCUCACGACACGAGCUGACGACAACCAUGCACCACCUGUGAACCAGCCCCGAAGGGAAAGACUAUUUCUAGCCCGAUCCAGUCCAUGUCAAGCCUUGGUAAGGUUCUUCGCGUUGCAUCGAAUUAAUCCGCAUGCUCCGCCGCUUGUGCGGGCCCCCGUCAAUUCCUUUGAGUUUUAGCCUUGCGGCCGUACUCCCCAGGCGGGGCACUUAAUGCGUUAGCUACGACGCGGAGAACGUGGAAUGUCCCCCACAUCUAGUGCCCAACGUUUACGGCAUGGACUAC
RNAcentral lists this unclassified non-coding RNA (379 nucleotides) under uncultured Micrococcaceae bacterium. RNAcentral's name for it is "contains 16S-23S intergenic spacer region". The record is from RNAcentral. Lineage: Bacteria; Bacillati; Actinomycetota; Actinomycetes; Micrococcales; Micrococcaceae.